CCUACGGGAGGCAGCAGUAAGGAAUAUUGGACAAUGGGCGAAAGCCUGAUCCAGCCAUCCCGCGUGUAGGAUGACUGCCCUAUGGGUUGUAAACUACUUUUGCUAGGGAAGAAACCCCUGAUCUUGUAUCGGGGCUGACUGUACCUUGCGAAUAAGCACCGGCUAACUCCGUGCCAGCAGCCGCGGUAAU
Molecule: ribosomal RNA, 190 nt
Filed under: uncultured bacterium
Lineage: Bacteria
Description: partial 16S ribosomal RNA
Rfam family: Bacterial small subunit ribosomal RNA
Source: RNAcentral